UACGAAGGGUGCAAGCGUUACUCGGAAUUACUGGGCGUAAAGGGCGCGUAGGCGGAUGGCACAGUCAGAUGUGAAAAUUCCCGGGCUUAACCUGGGGGCUGCAUUUGAUACGUGUGAUCUAGAGUGAGGAAGAGGGUCGUGGAAUUCCCAGUGUAGAGGUGAAAUUCGUAGAUAUUGGGAAGAACACCGGUGGCGAAGGCGGCGACCUGGUCCUUGACUGACGCUGAGGCGCGAAAGCGUGGGGAGCAAACAGG
This 254-nucleotide ribosomal RNA is filed under the name uncultured bacterium. RNAcentral describes it as "partial 16S ribosomal RNA". It matches the Rfam family "Bacterial small subunit ribosomal RNA", at positions 524 to 776 of the family's 1533-position model. The record is from RNAcentral.